CCAUCACAACGAUAUAUAUCAGAUCUCAAAUAGAUGGUACAAAUUACUGAAAUACGCCAUAUAUAUAUAUAUAUAUAUAUAUAGAAUCCCUAUGUAAGAAUAUCCAAAAAAUUUCUCGAGGAAAGAGCCCCCGAACACCUGCAAAGGCAAGUCUACCUGGCCGUACACUUCUCCAAGCCUUAAACCCUUGACUUUUAACGACCUUCCGAAAGCAUCCUUUUUGACUCCACCUUAACAAAUCUAUUUUUUCAAAAUACAAGACAUCAAUCCUCAACACUUAUAGUACACAAUUCCUUUAAAAAAUAAAAUCACAUACUAUGAGUCAUUUAAUCUCUCCACUUUUUCUUUGUAGGUGAGAGAAAAAAGGCAGGAACUAUUAUGAGAAGGAAUCACCACCUUUAUCACUCCCUUUACACACUCAAAUUUUUCCUCUCUCUAGCACACAGUAGGGUAGAAGCAUCUCGAUCUCUCAUCUUAUUCUUAGUAGCUAAGAAAGAAAAAGAAGGCAUGAAUCGUUUAAUACUAUUCUACUUGCACCAAUUGGUAAAUCGAACUGUUCUAAGGAGCUACCAAUUCUAUGAUUUCCUUUCUUUCUUUUUUUAAAUGUAUAUCCUUUACACACUCAAAAUUUCUCCCCUCUUAUCUGAAGUUGUCAACUACACAGACGGGCUACAGAUCUCUCUCUCUAUAUAUAUCUCAGAAAACUCUCUCUCUCUCUCUCUCUCACACANNN
Molecule: long non-coding RNA, 733 nt
Filed under: Amborella trichopoda
Lineage: Eukaryota; Viridiplantae; Streptophyta; Magnoliopsida; Amborellales; Amborellaceae
Description: long non-coding RNA (ATRI_LNC005435)
Source: RNAcentral